This 442-nucleotide long non-coding RNA is filed under the name Dromaius novaehollandiae (emu). RNAcentral describes it as "lncRNA (ENSDNVG00000007904.1)". Lineage: Eukaryota; Metazoa; Chordata; Aves; Casuariiformes; Dromaiidae. The record is from RNAcentral.
AAGCUAGUAGGCUGGGCAAAUUGAUUAGACUUUUGCUGUAUGUAAUCUAAAUAGCAUUUCUGGUUAACUCUUUCCUUCCUCUUAUUUUCAGGCCCCACUGUUUAUCCUGCAGUUACUCAUCUCUAUCAAACCAUGAACGGGCUCAGAUUUCCUCAAGGUAAUCUGGCUUCCCAGAAACCUCCUGCUAAAUGCAAGGGUUUGCUGUCCUGUUUACUGACUGUUACACCUGAGGCUGGUUUUAAUACAGAUUCUGGACAUCAUAAGUACCACGGAGGCAACCCGAAGGUCUCUUUGAGGACCGAUGUGUCCGUCUCCGGAACGGCACCCAGCAAGCCAGCGCGACUCCCUAGGACAGGCACUACGGAARCACCUUGUCUAUUUGAAACGCUAUGGGGAAUGAAGGUGGGCAGCAUGUUAUCAUGCAUGGAUAGCAUGGAUAUCC